Non-coding RNA from Phrynosoma platyrhinos (Desert horned lizard), 72 nucleotides. Lineage: Eukaryota; Metazoa; Chordata; Lepidosauria; Squamata; Phrynosomatidae. The record is from the annotation of a GenBank genome assembly.
GCUUCUUGUGAUGUAGUGGUUUUAAUGUUGGACUACGACACUGGAGACCAGGGUUCGAAUCCCUGCAGAGCC